AGCCUGAUCCAGCCAUGCCGCGUGUGUGAAGAAGGUCUUCGGAUUGUAAAGCACUUUAAUUUGGGAAGAAGGGUUGUAACCUAAUACGUUGCAAUCUUGACGUUACCGACAGAAUAAGCACCGGCUAACUCUGUGCCAGCAGCCGCGGUAAUA
This 153-nucleotide ribosomal RNA is filed under the name uncultured Gammaproteobacteria bacterium. Its description in RNAcentral is "partial 16S ribosomal RNA". It matches the Rfam family "Bacterial small subunit ribosomal RNA", at positions 380 to 525 of the family's 1533-position model. The record is from RNAcentral. Lineage: Bacteria; Pseudomonadati; Pseudomonadota; Gammaproteobacteria.